Molecule: small nuclear RNA, 195 nt
Organism: Cannabis sativa
Lineage: Eukaryota; Viridiplantae; Streptophyta; Magnoliopsida; Rosales; Cannabaceae
Product: U2 spliceosomal RNA
Exons: 1
Source: RefSeq, a predicted model, not a curated record
AUACCUUUCUCGGCCUUUUGGCUAAGAUCAAGUGUAGUAUCUGUUCUUAUCAGUUUAAUAUCUGAUAUGUGGGCCAAUGGUCCACACGAUAUUAAAUUAAUUUUUUAAGGGGUAAGGCCCAUUCGGUAGCUUGCUACUAGGGUCCUUACGCGUCGCCUAUGUGUUGCACUACAGCAUGGGCCUGGCGCACCCCUC